RNAcentral lists this non-coding RNA (103 nucleotides) under Burkholderiales bacterium. Its description in RNAcentral is "TPP sequence". It matches the Rfam family "TPP riboswitch aptamer (THI element)". From Rfam's summary of the family: Vitamin B(1) in its active form thiamin pyrophosphate (TPP) is an essential coenzyme that is synthesised by coupling of pyrimidine and thiazole moieties in bacteria. The previously detected thiamin-regulatory element, thi box was extended, resulting in a new, highly conserved RNA secondary structure, the THI element, which is widely distributed in eubacteria and also occurs in some archaea. Lineage: Bacteria; Pseudomonadati; Pseudomonadota; Betaproteobacteria; Burkholderiales. The record is from RNAcentral.
ACGACCUGCUAGGGGUGCGGCCCGCGUCGAGCGGUGCCGCUGAGAGAGUCCCUUCGAACCUGAUCGAGGUCGUCCUCGCGUAGGGAAGCCAGUUCGUCGUGCU